UACAGAGGGUGCGAGCGUUAAUCGGAAUUAUUGGGCGUAAAGCGCGCGUAGGCGGCUACUUAAGUCGGAUGUGAAAGCCCUUGGCUCAACUGAGGAAGUGCACCCGAAACUGAGUGGCUUGAGUACGAAAGAGGGUCGCGGAAUUCCCGGUGUAGAGGUGAAAUUCGUAGAUAUCGGGAGGAACACCGGUGGCGAAGGCGGCGACCUGGUCGAUACUGACGCUGAUGCGCGAAAGCGUGGAGCAACAGG
RNAcentral lists this ribosomal RNA (249 nucleotides) under uncultured bacterium. RNAcentral's name for it is "partial 16S ribosomal RNA". It matches the Rfam family "Bacterial small subunit ribosomal RNA", at positions 524 to 776 of the family's 1533-position model. The record is from RNAcentral.